Molecule: ribosomal RNA, 253 nt
Filed under: uncultured bacterium
Lineage: Bacteria
Description: partial 16S ribosomal RNA
Rfam family: Bacterial small subunit ribosomal RNA
Source: RNAcentral
UACAGAGGUCUCAAGCGUUGUUCGGAUUCAUUGGGCGUAAAGGGUGCGUAGGUGGUGGGGUAAGUCGGAUGUGAAAUCCCGGGGCUCAGCCCCGGAACUGCAUUCGAUACUGCCUUGCUCGAGUACUGGAGAGGAGACUGGAAUUUACGGUGUAGCAGUGAAAUGCGUAGAUAUCGUAAGGAAGACCAGUGGCGAAGGCGAGUCUCUGGACAGUUACUGACACUGAGGCACGAAGGCCAGGGGAGCAAACGGG